Molecule: non-coding RNA, 1391 nt
Organism: Sesamum indicum (sesame)
Lineage: Eukaryota; Viridiplantae; Streptophyta; Magnoliopsida; Lamiales; Pedaliaceae
Source: RefSeq, a predicted model, not a curated record
ACGUGAUGUACUUAAAUUGGGGCUUUUAAUUUUAUUAGUUGAUAUUUUCUAAUGUGGCAGAUGAUAUAUUAAAAAAAAUAAUAUUCACAUGGCUUAAAUAGCCACGUCAUGAAGCUUAGGUGGAAGUGGAAGGAAAACAAGACAGCAUGCAGGUUGCACAGUUUGAACAAGCAUCUAGCUAGUGUGAGGACAAGGAAAAGUGCUGUAAUGGUGAUGAAAAGGCCUGCAAGGCAUGUGUCUCUGCCCCCACCUCAAUAUCAUCCAGACAGUCAUUCAAUGACACCGUCUUUGUAUUACGGUGGUGAGGUUAGACGUUUGCCUCAUGCCAUGUAUGUGGGGGGAACUGUUGAUAAAUUUGAUUAUGUUUAGCCAAGAGAGUGUUGCUUGGAGACUCUGAACAUGUUUUGUUAUGGUGUUGGGACAGAGAGCGAUAGGAGAUAUUAUGUAAUUGUAAACAAAGGCUUAAGUUAUUGAUAGAUAACAAAGGCUUAUGAAGAAUUUAAAGGAAAGGAAACUGACUAUUUAUGGUAAAAGUGACGACAGAUGGCUGAAGUGGGUGUUAUAUUUUUGUGGACCAAGUGUUAGAGACCCACUUAUCCGGUUCACUCGGACGGCCCACUAUUCGACCCACGACCCGUUCGACCCGAUCCGGACUGCUCCACCACUUAAUCGGGUAACCUUAGUUUUGUGUCCUCAUCUUUCUUCUCUCCUUCAACGCCGAACUUCUCGGUCUCCAGCUUCCAUGGGAGUCUUCCUUAGCCAACGAAAUGGCUUAAGGAAGGACUCUAUUGCUGUCCUUAUCUAGAAAUCUUCACCCUUUGUAAAGGGCUUCUCCCCUCUCGGCCAAAGAUAGAAAAAAACCAAACAGCUUACUUCUACUCUCCAACAUUCUUUGUGAAUCUAUGUGAUUAAGGUCUCUGUGACCAAGAAAGAGAGGAAUCUGUGUGAUCGAGAAACUAAACCUGUUCUGGUGUUUCGGGUAGUAGAGCAUCCGUGAAUUGGGUUGUGGGUGCGGGACUUUUGUGAUCGUGUACCCUUUUGUGUGUUCAAAGGAUCUGACUUGAAUCUGAGCCUAAUUGUUACUGCAACAUUCUUUUCGUUUGAUUUGUUCAUAUCUUAUUAAUUUUGUAAUCAUUAUAAUUUCUGUAAUUAUUUUGGCCUAUUAAGGAGUUUCGUACUCCAUAUUCGUUUGUAAAAGUUGGAUAGGUAUUUCUGAUAUCCACUCUACAGUGGUAUCAAAGCAUUGGUUGCUGAUUCGUAAAAGCUCCGGUGGUGGUAAACUCUCUUAAAACCCUCUCUACAUUCUCUGCAUUUACUUUCUAUCAUUCACUAUUUUUUUGGUUUUAUUACCGAGGUGCGUAUCCCCUUGAUUACCCUCCUGGCCGGACCCU